AUACGUAGGUGGCGAGCGUUGUCCGGAAUGAUUGGGCGUAAAGGGCGCGUAGGCGGCGCGGUAAGUCUGGAGUGAAAGUCCUGCUUUCAAGGUGGGAAUUGCUUUGGAUACUGCCGCGCUUGAGUGCAGGAGAGGUUAUCGGAAUUCCCGGUGUAGCGGUGAAAUGCGUAGAGAUCGGGAGGAACACCAGUGGCGAAGGCGGGUAACUGGACUGCAACUGACGCUGAGGCGCGAAAGUGUGGGGAGCAAACAGGAUUAGAUACCCUGGUAGUCCACACUGUAAACGAUGAAUGCUAGGUGUAAGAGGUAUCGACCCCUUUUGUGCCGGAGUCAACACAAUAAGCAUUCCGCCUGGGGAGUACGGCCGCAAGGUUGAAACUCAAAUGAAUUGACGGGG
Molecule: ribosomal RNA, 397 nt
Filed under: uncultured bacterium
Lineage: Bacteria
Description: partial 16S ribosomal RNA
Rfam family: Bacterial small subunit ribosomal RNA
Source: RNAcentral